RNAcentral lists this ribosomal RNA (182 nucleotides) under Candidatus Bathyarchaeota archaeon. Its description in RNAcentral is "partial 16S ribosomal RNA". It matches the Rfam family "Archaeal small subunit ribosomal RNA", at positions 489 to 671 of the family's 1478-position model. Lineage: Archaea; Thermoproteati; Candidatus Bathyarchaeota. The record is from RNAcentral.
UGGUGUGGAUAUUUAUUGGGCCUAAAGCAUCCGUAGCCGGCCAGAUAAGUUCUUCGUUAAAUCCAACGUCUCAAUCGUUGGGCUGCGGGGAAUACUGUUUGGCUAGGGGGUGGGAGCGGCCGACGGUAUUCUCGGGGUAGGGGUGAAAUCCUAUAAUCCCGGGAGGACCACCAGUGGCGAAG